GGGUAACCUGCCCAUAAGACUGGGAUAACUCCGGGAAACCGGGGCUAAUACCGGAUAACAUUUUGAACUGCAUGGUUCGAAAUUGAAAGGCGGCUUCGGCUGUCACUUAUGGAUGGACCCGCGUCGCAUUAGCUAGUUGGUGAGGUAACGGCUCACCAAGGCAACGAUGCGUAGCCGACCUGAGAGGGUGAUCGGCCACACUGGGACUGAGACACGGCCCAGACUCCUACGGGAGGCAGCAGUAGGGAAUCUUCCGCAAUGGACGAAAGUCUGACGGAGCAACGCCGCGUGAGUGAUGAAGGCUUUCGGGUCGUAAAACUCUGUUGUUAGGGAAGAACAAGUGCUAGUUGAAUAAGCUGGCACCUUGACGGUACCUAACCAGAAAGCCACGGCUAACUACGUGCCAGCAGCCGCGGUAAUACGUAGGUGGCAAGCGUUAUCCGGAAUUAUUGGGCGUAAAGCGCGCGCAGGUGGUUUCUUAAGUCUGAUGUGAAAGCCCACGGCUCAACCGUGGAGGGUCAUUGGAAACUGGGAGACUUGAGUGCAGAAGAGGAAAGUGGAAUUCCAUGUGUAGCGGUGAAAUGCGUAGAGAUAUGGAGGAACACCAGUGGCGAAGGCGACUUUCUGGUC
Molecule: ribosomal RNA, 630 nt
Filed under: Bacillus toyonensis
Lineage: Bacteria; Bacillati; Bacillota; Bacilli; Caryophanales; Bacillaceae
Also listed under: 1 other name
Description: bacterial SSU rRNA
Rfam family: Bacterial small subunit ribosomal RNA
Source: RNAcentral